GUUUGAUCCUGGUCAGAACGAACGCUGGCGGCGUGGAUAGACAUGCAAGUCGAACGCUUAUCACCAGGCAGCAAUGUUUGGUGGUAGGAGUGGCGGGGUGCGUAACACGUGGGUAAUCUGCCGUGAAGUUGGGGAUAACUCGCUGCUAAUACCGAAUGUGACAAUUGGGAGGCAUCUUCUAAUUGUUAAAGUUGGGGACCGCAAGGCCUAACGCUUCAUGAUGAGCCCGCGGCCUAUCAGCUAGUUGGUGAGGUAAAAGCUUACCAAGGCUAAGACGGGUAGCUGGUCUGAGAGGACGACCAGUCACACUGGAACUGAGACACGGUCCAGACACCUACGGGUGGCUCGAGAAUUUUUCACAAUGGGCGCAAGCCUGAUGGAGCGACGCCGCGUGGGGGAUUCGGCUCGUAAACCCCUGUCAUUUGCGAACAAACCUUCUGGUUUAAUAAGCCAGAAGCUGAUUGUAGCAGAAGAGGAAGGGACGGCUAACUCUGUGCCAGCAGCCGCGGUAAUACAAGGUCCCAAGCGUUGUUCGGAUUCACUGGGCGUAAAGGGUGCGUAGGUGGCGGGGUAAGUCUGAUGUGAAAUCUCCGAGCUCAACUCGGAAAUGGCAUUACUAUUCUGCUAGAGGAUUGGAGGGGGGACUGAUUCUCGGUGUAGCAGUGAAAUGCGUAGAUAUCGAGAGGAACACCAGUGGCGAAGGCGAGUCYCUGGACAAUUCCUGACGCUGAGGCACGAAAGCUAGGGGAGCAAACAGGAUUAGAUACCCUGGUAGUCCUAGCUGUAAACGGUGCGCAUUGCUGUGGGCGGAAUCGACCCCGUCCGUGGCGAAGCAAACGCGAUAAAUGCGCCGCCUGGGGAGUACGGUCGCAAGAUUAAAACUCAAAAAUUGACGGGGGCCUGCACAAGCGGUGGAGUAUGUGAAUUCGAUGCAACGCGAAGAAYCUUACCUGGUCUUGACAUGUAGGUGGUAAAAGCCUGAAAGGGUGAUGACCCCGCAAGGGGAGCUUACACAGGUGCUGCAUGGCUGUCGUCAGCUCGUGUCGUGAGAUGUUGGGUUAAGUCCCGCAACCGCAACCCCUGUGUCCUGUUGCCACCCCUGCGAGAGCAGGGAGCACUCUGGACAGCUGCCUCGCUUAAACGAGGAGGAAGGUGGGGAUGACGUCAAGUCAGUAUGGCCCUUACGACCAGGGCUGCACACGUACUACAAUGCCCGGUACAGAGGGAAGCAAGACCGCAAGGUGGAGCAAAUCCCAGAAAACCGGGCCCAGUUCGGAUUGUCGGCUGCAACUCGCCGGCAUGAAGCUGGAAUCGCUAGUAAUGGCGCAUCAGCUACGGCGCCGUGAAUACGUUCCCAGGCCUUGUACACCCGCCCGUCACAUCAGAAAGCCGGUUGUACCCGAAGUCAGUUAACCGCAAGGAGACAGGUGCCGAAGGUAUGGCUGGUGAUUGGGAUGAAGUCGUAACAAGGUA
Molecule: ribosomal RNA, 1473 nt
Filed under: uncultured bacterium
Lineage: Bacteria
Description: 16S ribosomal RNA
Rfam family: Bacterial small subunit ribosomal RNA
Source: RNAcentral